GACAGAGGGUGCAAACGUUGCUCGGAAUUACUGGGCGUAAAGCGCGUGUAGGUGGACUGGUGUGUCAGAUGUGAAAUCCCUGGGCUCAACCCAGGAACUGCACCUGAAACUACCAGCCUUGAGUGGUGGAGAGGGAAGUGGAAUUCCUGGUGUAGAGGUGAAAUGCGCAGAUAUCGGGAAGAACACCCGUGGCGAAGGCGGCUCUCUGGGACGGUACUGACGCUGAGACGCGAAAGCGUGGGGAGCGAACAGG
This 253-nucleotide ribosomal RNA is filed under the name uncultured bacterium. Its description in RNAcentral is "partial 16S ribosomal RNA". It matches the Rfam family "Bacterial small subunit ribosomal RNA", at positions 524 to 776 of the family's 1533-position model. The record is from RNAcentral.